GUGGGGAAUAUUGGACAAUGGGCGAAAGCCUGAUCCAGCCAUGCCGCGUGUGUGAAGAAGGUCUUCGGAUUGUAAAGCACUUUAAGUUGGGAGGAAGGGCAGUAAGUUAAUACCUUGCUGUUUUGACGUUACCGACAGAAUAAGCACCGGCUAACUUCGUGCCAGCAGCCGCGGUAAUACGAAGGGUGCAAGCGUUAAUCGGAAUUACUGGGCGUAAAGCGCGCGUAGGUGGUUUUGUAAGUUGGAGGUGAAAUCCCCGGGCUCAACCUGGGAACUGCCUCCAAAACUGCAUGACUAGAGUACGGUAGAGGGUAGUGGAAUUUCCUGUGUAGCGGUGAAAUGCGUAGAUAUAGGAAGGAACACCAGUGGCGAAGGCGACUACCUGGACUGAUACUGACACUGAGGUACGAAAGCGUGGGGAGCAAACAGGAUUAGAAACCCUGGUAGUCC
Molecule: ribosomal RNA, 450 nt
Filed under: uncultured bacterium
Lineage: Bacteria
Description: partial 16S ribosomal RNA
Rfam family: Bacterial small subunit ribosomal RNA
Source: RNAcentral